RNAcentral lists this ribosomal RNA (433 nucleotides) under uncultured bacterium. RNAcentral describes it as "partial 16S ribosomal RNA". It matches the Rfam family "Bacterial small subunit ribosomal RNA", at positions 29 to 507 of the family's 1533-position model. The record is from RNAcentral.
AGCGAACGCUGGCGGCAUGCCUAACACAUGCAAGUCGAACGAGACCUUCGGGUCUAGUGGCGCACGGGUGCGUAACGCGUGGGAACCUGCCCUUAGGUUCGGAAUAACUCCCCGAAAGGGGUGCUAAUACCGGAUAAUGUCUUCGGACCAAAGAUUUAUCGCCUUUGGAUGGGCCCGCGUUGGAUUAGCUAGUUGGUAGGGUAAAAGCCUACCAAGGCGACGAUCCAUAGCUGGUCUGAGAGGAUGAUCAGCCACACUGGGACUGAGACACGGCCCAGACUCCUACGGGAGGCAGCAGUGGGGAAUAUUGGACAAUGGGCGAAAGCCUGAUCCAGCAAUGCCGCGUGAGUGAUGAAGGCCUUAGGGUUGUAAAGCUCUUUUACCCGGGAUGAUAAUGACAGUACCGGGAGAAUAAGUUCCGGCUAACUCCGUG